RNAcentral lists this small RNA (125 nucleotides) under Marmota monax (woodchuck). Lineage: Eukaryota; Metazoa; Chordata; Mammalia; Rodentia; Sciuridae. The record is from RNAcentral.
GCUGGGGGUGGUGGCACAUGCCUAUAAUCCCAGCGGCUCGGGAGGCUGAGGCAGGAGGAUCACGAGUUCAAAGCCAGCCUCCGCCAAAGUGAGGCCCUGAGCAACUCAGUGAGACCCUGUCUCUA